Long non-coding RNA from Calidris pygmaea (Spoon-billed sandpiper), 515 nucleotides. Lineage: Eukaryota; Metazoa; Chordata; Aves; Charadriiformes; Scolopacidae. The record is from Ensembl.
CAGACCCGUCCGGGGGGUCCCGCAGUGGGCGGGGGAUGCUGCGGGGGUGGGAUGGGGGCCGGGGACGAGCGCAGCCGGCCCGGGGACCGGUGAUGGGGACCGGGACCGGGGGCGGCGCCGGUGGGAGGCUCCCGGUCCCGGCCCCGGCGGUAACUCCGCCUGCCGUAUUUAUGGGAAAACAAGCGGCGGCGGAGCCGGGCGGCCGCGGCGGAGCAUCAGCCUGAGCCGUGCCGUGCCGGGUCUGGUCGGGCCGUGCCGGGUCGGGCCGUGCCGGGUCGGGCCGUGCCGUGCCGGAUCGGGCGGAGCCGGGCCGGGGCAUGGCCACAGAGGCGGCGGCAGCCCGAGCCUAGCGCGGCGGCGGCGGGGAUGCGGCGGGGGGGGCGACAGGCGCAGAGCAGCGCUGGGAUGGAGCCGUGGUGGGGCCCUUGCUCAGCUCAGCCCACCCACCCCCUUCCUGCUGCUGCCGGACCAGGGCCGGCUGCCUUCCUCUGAGGCCAUCUGAAGGGGAGCUGGCA